GGUAAGGUGGCUGAGCAGUAGGCGAUAAACUGUAAAUUUAUUCACAGGUAUUUAACCUUCUUACCA
Molecule: transfer RNA, 66 nt
Filed under: Ruspolia dubia
Lineage: Eukaryota; Metazoa; Arthropoda; Insecta; Orthoptera; Tettigoniidae
Also listed under: 1 other name
Description: tRNA-Tyr
Rfam family: tRNA
About the family: Transfer RNA (tRNA) molecules are approximately 80 nucleotides in length. Their secondary structure includes four short double-helical elements and three loops (D, anti-codon, and T loops).
Source: RNAcentral